GNUCAAGAGUACGNGAAACCGUCUGGGAGUAAACGGGUGGUUCCCGAAAGUACGAAAGGGGAGAUUCAGGUCUCGCUGCGCGUCGGGCGGCGCCCGCGAUCAGAGAUGGUGUUCUCGCGGCCGGGGGGCGACCCUCGGUCNNNNNNNNNCUCCACUCCGCGGGCGCCGUUUGUUCCCGGCGCCGGAGUGACGCACUUCUCCCCCAGUAGAACGUCGCGACCCGUCGGGCGCCGGCCUAAGGUCCCGGGUGGAGUCUGCGCAGUUCGCUGCGCACGACCCCGGGGAUCCCGGCCGGGUGCUCGACGGUACGAAGAGAGGAAGGAGUCGACGCGCCGCUCGUCGGCGUCCGGCCCUCCGCAAGCGCCCGCGGGAGUCCGAGACUCCGGGCCCGGCCCGGUCUCGGUCCCUCCGCGGGGCUGUUUGCGAUGAGGAGGUGUCCUCGGAC
This 445-nucleotide ribosomal RNA is filed under the name Hesperocordulia berthoudi. RNAcentral describes it as "partial 28S ribosomal RNA". Lineage: Eukaryota; Metazoa; Arthropoda; Insecta; Odonata; Corduliidae. The record is from RNAcentral.